AUAAAAACUAUGAUGGAGAAAAGUAGGACGGUUUUCGAUCUUUCAGGGAGGGGUUAGCCGUGACUGUAAGCAGCCCUAAGCAUUCACCGUUUGAAGUUCGCUCCUGAGUUAUCAGGCUGAAACACCUGCAAGUAGGCCUGAUCGGAAACUUUCACCGUUAAAAGAAGAUGGUAUCGGAAAUAUUUUUUUCGGUUACUUAUAGAGUUGUCUGCCGGAUCUAAGACGCAGAUUAAUAUGGGUGGUACCGCGAAAGACAGAACUUUCGUCCCGUAG
Molecule: non-coding RNA, 273 nt
Filed under: Desulfofarcimen acetoxidans
Lineage: Bacteria; Bacillati; Bacillota; Clostridia; Eubacteriales; Peptococcaceae
Description: Desulfotomaculum acetoxidans T-box sequence
Rfam family: T-box leader
About the family: Uncharged tRNA acts as the effector for transcription antitermination of genes in the T-box leader family. T-boxes are found upstream of many aminoacyl-tRNA synthetase genes and some amino acid biosynthetic genes usually in Gram-positive bacteria.
Source: RNAcentral